GAGUUUGAUCUUGGCUCAGGAUGAACGCUGGCGGCGUGCCUAAUACAUGCAAGUCGAGCGAACGGACGAGAAGCUUGCUUCUCUGAUGUUAGCGGCGGACGGGUGAGUAACACGUGGAUAACCUACCUAUAAGACUGGGAUAACUUCGGGAAACCGGAGCUAAUACCGGAUAAUAUUUUGAACCGCAUGGUUCAAAAGUGAAAGACGGUCUUGCUGUCACUUAUAGAUGGAUCCGCGCUGCAUUAGCUAGUUGGUAAGGUAACGGCUUACCAAGGCAACGAUGCAUAGCCGACCUGAGAGGGUGAUCGGCCACACUGGAACUGAGACACGGUCCAGACUCCUACGGGAGGCAGCAGUAGGGAAUCUUCCGCAAUGGGCGAAAGCCUGACGGAGCAACGCCGCGUGAGUGAUGAAGGUCUUCGAAUCGUAAAACUCUGUUAUUAGGGUAAGAACAUAUGUGUAAGUAACUGUGCACAUCUUGACGGUACCGUAAUCAGAAAGCACGGCUAACUACGUCG
This 518-nucleotide ribosomal RNA is filed under the name uncultured microorganism. RNAcentral's name for it is "bacterial SSU rRNA". It matches the Rfam family "Bacterial small subunit ribosomal RNA", at positions 9 to 508 of the family's 1533-position model. The record is from RNAcentral.